GAUGAACGCUGACAGAAUGCUUAACACAUGCAAGUCAACUUGAACUUCGGUUUGGGUGGCGGACGGGUGAGUAACGCGUAAAGAACUUGCCUCACAGUUAGGGACAACAUUUGGAAACGAAUGCUAAUACCUGAUAUUAUGAUUUUAGGGCAUCCUAGAAUUAUGAAAGCUAUAUGCGCUGUGAGAGAGCUUUGCGUCCCAUUAGCUAGUUGGAGAGGUAACGGCUCACCAAGGCGAUGAUGGGUAGCCGGCCUGAGAGGGUGAUCGGCCACAAGGGGACUGAGACACGGCCCUUACUCCUACGGGAGGCAGCAGUGGGGAAUAUUGGACAAUGGUCGGAAGACUGAUCCAGCCAUGCCGCGUGCAGGAUGAAGGUCCUAUGGAUUGUAAACUGCCUUUGUAAGGGAAGAAUAAGGAGUACGUGUACUUUGAUGACGGUACCUUACGAAUAAGCAUCGGCUAACUCCGUGCCAGCAGCCGCGGUAAUACGGAGGAUGCGAGCGUUAUCCGGAAUCAUUGGGUUUAAAGGGUCCGUAGGCGGGCUGAUAAGUCAGAGGUGAAAGCGCUUAGCUCAACUAAGCAACUGCCUUUGAAACUGUCAGUCUUGAAUGAUUGUGAAGUAGUUGGGAAUGUGUAGUGUAGCGUUGAAAUGCUUAGAUAUCACACAGAACACCGAUAGCGAAGUCAUUUUUACUAACAAUUUAUGACGCUGAUGGACGAAAGCGUGGGGGAGCGAACAGGGAUGAGAUACUCUUGUUAGUCUAUGGCUAAUUCCGCAUUGGCUGCAGCCCGGGGAUCCACUAGUCUGGAGCGGCGGACGGGGGUGAUCCAUUUCGCCCUAUUAUUGAAAAAAAAAAGAAAAUA
Molecule: ribosomal RNA, 864 nt
Filed under: uncultured Fusobacterium sp.
Lineage: Bacteria; Fusobacteriati; Fusobacteriota; Fusobacteriia; Fusobacteriales; Fusobacteriaceae
Description: bacterial SSU rRNA
Rfam family: Bacterial small subunit ribosomal RNA
Source: RNAcentral